This 219-nucleotide ribosomal RNA is filed under the name Triticum aestivum (bread wheat). Its description in RNAcentral is "partial small subunit ribosomal RNA". Lineage: Eukaryota; Viridiplantae; Streptophyta; Magnoliopsida; Poales; Poaceae. The record is from RNAcentral.
AUGGAUUUCAUAUCAUGGUUACCCUCCUCUGACCAAUAUGACUGCAUUAUGGUGGUUAUAGACAAGUUCACUAAAUAUGGGCAUUUCAUUCCUGUCAAGCAUCCAUAUACUGCCCAGAAGAUUUCUGAACUGUUUUUGGACAAUAUCUACAAACUCCAUGGCAUGCCUCGUUAUAUUGUGUCAGAUCGAGAUCCUGUGUUCACCAGCAACUUUUGGUAG